Molecule: long non-coding RNA, 951 nt
Organism: Xenia sp. Carnegie-2017
Lineage: Eukaryota; Metazoa; Cnidaria; Anthozoa; Malacalcyonacea; Xeniidae
Exons: 4
Source: RefSeq, a predicted model, not a curated record
GCCCAAUAUAUAUCUAGUUUAUUUACGACGAGAAUAAUGAAGGCACAAUGUGAAUCAUGUGAAUCCCAUUGCAGCACAAUGCGAAAUGAAUACACUUUUAUUGAUUUAUCAAACAUUCAGUCACUUAUUUGGAGUUGGCAUACUAUUUAAGACAUCUGUGCUCGACAUAAAUAGGAGCAUAACCGAGGGUAUUCAAUUCACCGUCAACAUAAACGUCGAAGCAAUUUUGAAGAGUUGAAACCGAAAUCUGUUGACUACCCGCUGUGAAGCAGUUAAUAUAGCAAAAACAUUUCACUUGGCGGAAUUUUUCUAUCUCUAUUCGUCGACAAAUAAAUGCACUGGACUUAAGAACCAAAACAUGCAGGAUGGCUGUACCAUUGGUUGAAUAUAAUAAAUUCAACAAGAACAUGGAAAUGCAAAUGCUAGUUUGAACCCUCCUUCAUUGUAAUCAAUGACAAAAUGUCACACGAAGUGCAAAUUACAAUGAAGGAUGGUGUAGGAUAAAAGAGGAUGAAGGAGGUAUCAUAAAGAAGGAGCUGUCAUAAAGAAGGAGGUGUCAUAAAGAACAAGAUCUGGGAAGUGGCAAAUUGCAUGAUGCAUCCCAUUGAUAAAGCUAAGCUGAACCCAAACAGCCCAAAUGCGUAAAAAGAAAAAUGUGCAUGUCAGUUUUGUAACGCAUCACGAGACCGGAAAUUGGAAGUUGGAUCACUCAUUAACCGGAAGUCGCGACUGAUGAACGCGUAAAGUACGGACAUCCUUCGCUCUGAAGAUGGCUACUGCUAAGGUUGUCAAAAUGUCAGUCAUCAUCAGCAACAACACUCCUCAGAAUUGUACUAACCUGGACGAUCUACAUCUACAAACAUGUAACACGAAAUUAUCUUAUAAAAGCAAUAUUUUUCCUACGACUUUCAGUCUUUUCUCUAUCUAUUUUUCAUUUUGAACUAUUGAAUG